GAUUAACGCUGGCGGCGUGCAUAACACAUGCAAGUCGAACGAUGAAACUCAUUAGAUUUCUUCGGAAUGAAAAUGAAUGGAUUAGUGGCGAACGGGUGAGUAACGCGUGAGUAACCUGCCUUACACAAGGGGAUAGCCUCUGGAAACGGAGAAUAAUACCCUAUGAAACCAGACAAUCGCAUGAUAAUCUGGUCAAAAUGUUUAGUGGUGUAAGAUGGACUUGCGUCUGAUUAGCUAGUUGGUGAGAUAAAAGCUCACCAAGGCAACGAUCAGUAGCCGGCGUGGGAGAGGGGACGGCCAACUUGGGACCGAGACCCGGCCCCGACUCCUACGGGAGGCAGCAGGGGGGAAUUUUGCACAAUGGGGGAAAACCCGAUGUAGCGAAGCCGCGGGAUUUAGAAGGGCUUUGGGUUGUAAAAAUCUUUUGUAUAGGAAGAAAAUGACAGUACUAUACGAAUAAGGUCCGGCUAAUUACGUG
RNAcentral lists this ribosomal RNA (478 nucleotides) under uncultured bacterium. RNAcentral's name for it is "partial 16S ribosomal RNA". It matches the Rfam family "Bacterial small subunit ribosomal RNA", at positions 28 to 507 of the family's 1533-position model. The record is from RNAcentral.